GUUCAUGUGAUUAAUUCAGCUGUUCAGCUGCUGAGUGACUCAGAAAUGAACUGAAUUUCAAUUCUGAUUAGA
Small nucleolar RNA from Junco hyemalis (dark-eyed junco), 72 nucleotides. The record is from Ensembl. NCBI's taxonomy places the organism in Eukaryota, Metazoa, Chordata, Aves, Passeriformes, Passerellidae.